Molecule: ribosomal RNA, 254 nt
Filed under: uncultured bacterium
Lineage: Bacteria
Description: partial 16S ribosomal RNA
Rfam family: Bacterial small subunit ribosomal RNA
Source: RNAcentral
UACGGGGGGAGCAAGCGUUGUUCGGAUUUACUGGGCGUAAAGGGCGCGUAGGCGGCCAGCACAAGUCAGUUGUGAAAUCUCCGAGCUUAACUCGGAAAGGUCAACUGAUACUGUGCGGCUAGAGUGCGGAAGGGGCAACUGGAAUUCUUGGUGUAGCGGUGAAAUGCGUAGAUAUCAAGAGGAACACCUGCAGCGAAGGCGGGUUGCUGGGCCGACACUGACGCUGAGGCGCGAAAGCCAGGGGAGCAAACGGG